RNAcentral lists this ribosomal RNA (205 nucleotides) under uncultured bacterium. RNAcentral describes it as "partial 16S ribosomal RNA". It matches the Rfam family "Bacterial small subunit ribosomal RNA", at positions 1288 to 1500 of the family's 1533-position model. The record is from RNAcentral.
UCAGUUCGGAUUGGAGGCUGAAACCCGCCUCCAUGAAGUUGGAUUCGCUAGUAAUCGCGCAUCAGCCAUGGCGCGGUGAAUACGUUCCCGGGCCUUGUACACACCGCCCGUCAAGCCAUGGGAGCCGGGGGUGCCUGAAGUUCGUGACCGCAAGGAGCGACCUAGGGCAAAACUGGUGACUGGGGCUAAGUCGUAACAAGGUACC